CACGUAGUUAGCCGGUGCUUCUUCUACACCUACCGUCACCACCCGAAGAUGGCUUCGUCGGUGUCGAAAGAGGUUUACAACCCGAAGGCCGUCAUCCCCCACGCGGCGUUGCUGCGUCAGGCUUUCGCCCAUUGCGCAAGAUUCCCCACUGCUGCCUCCCGUAGGAGUCUGGGCCGUGUCUCAGUCCCAGUGUGGCCGGUCACCCUCUCAGGCCGGCUACCCGUCGUCGCCUUGGUAGGCCAUCACCCCACCAACAAGCUGAUAGGCCGCGGGCUCAUCCUGCACCGCCGGAGCUUUCCACACCACACCAUGCGGCACGAUGUCAUAUCCGGUAUUAGACCCCGUUUCCAGGGCUUAUCCCAGAGUGCAGGGCAGAUUACCCACGUGUUACUCACCCGUUCGCCACUCAUCCACGGUGCAAGCACCGCUUCAGCGUUCGACUUGCAUGUGUUAAGCACGCCGCCAGCGUUCGUCCUGAGCCAGGAUCCAAACUCU
RNAcentral lists this ribosomal RNA (495 nucleotides) under uncultured Saccharopolyspora sp. Its description in RNAcentral is "partial 16S ribosomal RNA". The record is from RNAcentral. Lineage: Bacteria; Bacillati; Actinomycetota; Actinomycetes; Pseudonocardiales; Pseudonocardiaceae.